RNAcentral lists this ribosomal RNA (1520 nucleotides) under Salmonella enterica. RNAcentral describes it as "bacterial SSU rRNA". It matches the Rfam family "Bacterial small subunit ribosomal RNA". The record is from RNAcentral. Lineage: Bacteria; Pseudomonadati; Pseudomonadota; Gammaproteobacteria; Enterobacterales; Enterobacteriaceae. RNAcentral also lists the same sequence under 2 other names.
UGAAGAGUUUGAUCAUGGCUCAGAUUGAACGCUGGCGGCAGGCCUAACACAUGCAAGUCGAACGGUAACAGGAAGCAGCUUGCUGCUUUGCUGACGAGUGGCGGACGGGUGAGUAAUGUCUGGGAAACUGCCUGAUGGAGGGGGAUAACUACUGGAAACGGUGGCUAAUACCGCAUAACGUCGCAAGACCAAAGAGGGGGACCUUCGGGCCUCUUGCCAUCAGAUGUGCCCAGAUGGGAUUAGCUUGUUGGUGAGGUAACGGCUCACCAAGGCGACGAUCCCUAGCUGGUCUGAGAGGAUGACCAGCCACACUGGAACUGAGACACGGUCCAGACUCCUACGGGAGGCAGCAGUGGGGAAUAUUGCACAAUGGGCGCAAGCCUGAUGCAGCCAUGCCGCGUGUAUGAAGAAGGCCUUCGGGUUGUAAAGUACUUUCAGCGGGGAGGAAGGUGUUGUGGUUAAUAACCGCAGCAAUUGACGUUACCCGCAGAAGAAGCACCGGCUAACUCCGUGCCAGCAGCCGCGGUAAUACGGAGGGUGCAAGCGUUAAUCGGAAUUACUGGGCGUAAAGCGCACGCAGGCGGUCUGUCAAGUCGGAUGUGAAAUCCCCGGGCUCAACCUGGGAACUGCAUUCGAAACUGGCAGGCUUGAGUCUUGUAGAGGGGGGUAGAAUUCCAGGUGUAGCGGUGAAAUGCGUAGAGAUCUGGAGGAAUACCGGUGGCGAAGGCGGCCCCCUGGACAAAGACUGACGCUCAGGUGCGAAAGCGUGGGGAGCAAACAGGAUUAGAUACCCUGGUAGUCCACGCCGUAAACGAUGUCUACUUGGAGGUUGUGCCCUUGAGGCGUGGCUUCCGGAGCUAACGCGUUAAGUAGACCGCCUGGGGAGUACGGCCGCAAGGUUAAAACUCAAAUGAAUUGACGGGGGCCCGCACAAGCGGUGGAGCAUGUGGUUUAAUUCGAUGCAACGCGAAGAACCUUACCUGGUCUUGACAUCCACAGAACAUUCCAGAGAUGGAUUGGUGCCUUCGGGAACUGUGAGACAGGUGCUGCAUGGCUGUCGUCAGCUCGUGUUGUGAAAUGUUGGGUUAAGUCCCGCAACGAGCGCAACCCUUAUCCUUUGUUGCCAGCGGUCCGGCCGGGAACUCAAAGGAGACUGCCAGUGAUAAACUGGAGGAAGGUGGGGAUGACGUCAAGUCAUCAUGGCCCUUACGACCAGGGCUACACACGUGCUACAAUGGCGCAUACAAAGAGAAGCGACCUCGCGAGAGCAAGCGGACCUCAUAAAGUGCGUCGUAGUCCGGAUUGGAGUCUGCAACUCGACUCCAUGAAGUCGGAAUCGCUAGUAAUCGUGGAUCAGAAUGCCACGGUGAAUACGUUCCCGGGCCUUGUACACACCGCCCGUCACACCAUGGGAGUGGGUUGCAAAAGAAGUAGGUAGCUUAACCUUCGGGAGGGCGCUUACCACUUUGUGAUUCAUGACUGGGGUGAAGUCGUAACAAGGUAACCGUAGGGGAACCUGC